RNAcentral lists this ribosomal RNA (531 nucleotides) under Diaporthe sp. 1-19. Its description in RNAcentral is "eukaryotic LSU rRNA". The stretch from base 169 to 322 matches the Rfam family "5.8S ribosomal RNA". Lineage: Eukaryota; Fungi; Ascomycota; Sordariomycetes; Diaporthales; Diaporthaceae. The record is from RNAcentral.
CUUCGGAGACGCGGAGGGACAUUGCUGGAGCGCUUCGGCGCACCCAGAAACCCGUGUGAACUCUUACCAUCGUUGCCUCGGCGCGCCGGCCCUCGGGUCCUACGAGCGCGCGCCGGCGGCCCAUAACUCGUCUCUUGUGUCUCUCUGAGUUGGACCGAAAUAAAUCAAAACCUUCAACAACGGAUCUCUUGGCUCUGGCAUCGAUGAAGAACGCAGCGAAAUGCGAUAAGUAAUGUGAAUUGCAGAAUUCAGUGAAUCAUCGAAUCUUUGAACGCACAUUGCGCCCUCUGGUAUUCCGGAGGGCAUGCCUGUCCGAGCGUCAUUUCACCCCUCAAGCUCUGCUUGGUGUUGGGGCGCUGCCCAGCGAUGGGCAUGCUCCGAAAUGCAGUGGCGAGCCGGCCAGAUCUCCGAGCGUAGUAAUCUCUCGUUCGGGCUCUGGUCUGUCAGCCAGAAAACGUCUGUCUUCGCCGACAAACACUUCUCAAUUGACCUCGGAUCAGGUAGGAAUACCCGCUGAACUUAAGCAUUAUG